This 495-nucleotide ribosomal RNA is filed under the name uncultured bacterium. RNAcentral's name for it is "partial 16S ribosomal RNA". It matches the Rfam family "Bacterial small subunit ribosomal RNA", at positions 28 to 507 of the family's 1533-position model. The record is from RNAcentral.
GACGAACGCUGGCGGCGUGCCUAAUACAUGCAAGUAGAACGCUGAAGGAGGAGCUUGCUUCUCCGGAUGAGUUGCGAACGGGUGAGUAACGCGUAGGUAACCUGCCUGGUAGCGGGGGAUAACUAUUGGAAACGAUAGCUAAUACCGCAUAAGAGUAGAUGUUGCAUGACAUUUGCUUAAAAGGUGCAAUUGCAUCACUACCAGAUGGACCUGCGUUGUAUUAGCUAGUUGGUGGGGUAACGGCUUACCAAGGCGACGAUACAUAGCCGACCUGAGAGGGUGAUCGGCCACACUGGGACUGAGACACGGCCCAGACUCCUACGGGAGGCAGCAGUAGGGAAUCUUCAGCAAUGGACGGAAGUCUGACCGAGCAACGCCGCGUGAGUGAAGAAGGUUUUCGGAUCGUAAAGCUCUGUUGUAAGAGAAGAACGAGUGUGAGAGUGGAAAGUUCACACUGUGACGGUAUCUUACCAGAAAGGGACGGCUAACUACGUG